Molecule: ribosomal RNA, 162 nt
Filed under: uncultured bacterium
Lineage: Bacteria
Description: partial 16S ribosomal RNA
Rfam family: Bacterial small subunit ribosomal RNA
Source: RNAcentral
AACGCCGCGUGGAGGAUGACGGUCUUCGGAUUGUAAACUCCUGUCAUCGGGGAGUAAGACCUGACGGUAAAUAGCCGGCAGGGUUGAUAGUACCCGAAGAGGAAGGGACGGCUAACUUCGUGCCAGCACCGUCGGUGACUGAGCGGGCUGGCAAGGCGCAUA